RNAcentral lists this transfer RNA (76 nucleotides) under Marmota monax (woodchuck). RNAcentral describes it as "tRNA.Ala". Lineage: Eukaryota; Metazoa; Chordata; Mammalia; Rodentia; Sciuridae. The record is from RNAcentral.
GCUAGGGAUGUAGCUCAGGGGUAGAGCACUUGGCCUAGCAUGUGCCAAGUCCUGGGUUCGAUCUCCAGCACUAGGA